RNAcentral lists this long non-coding RNA (1028 nucleotides) under Castor canadensis (American beaver). RNAcentral's name for it is "lncRNA (ENSCCNG00000003880.1)". The record is from RNAcentral. Lineage: Eukaryota; Metazoa; Chordata; Mammalia; Rodentia; Castoridae.
AACUUUUCCCAGACUUCUGGCAAAGAUUUUCUUUUUCUUGGGAGUUUUAGUUGCUGUGCUGCCAACGUCGUGUUCCACCAUCAUCCUGUUCCAGAAUUCAUACCUUGGCUGCCUUGAGGGCAGGGCCAGGAAAGAACCAAGGAAAACAACAAGGUUUGCCUCUACACUGUCUGGCUGGAAUGAUCUCUUUUUGCCACCUUUUAAACAGGAUGAUAGUUUGGGAGAACGAUGCCUACCGUACAACUCUAUGACUGGGACUUUCCUGAGUCAAACCUGGGAGUAUAAAGAGGAAAUAAAAAUGAGCAACUCCAGUGCACACAGGUCCAGGUCAAGACCUCGUCCACGUUCCCUUAGUCGAAGCAGUGAAAGGUCCAGUCACAGAAGAACCCGAAGUCGAUCUCGGGACAGAGAGCGGCGUAAAGGCAGAGAUAAAGAGAAAAGAGAAAAGGAGAAGGACAAAGUCAAGGACAAAGAAUUGCACAACAUCAAGCGUGGGUAAGUUGAAGCAGAUCUUAUGCAGUGAUGACUGAUUCCAUGGCAAUAUUCAAACUAUAGCUAUCUAUGUAGAUAGAUAGAUAUAUAGAUACAUCUGGGGUAUAGAUACACCCCAGAUGGUACUGGGGUUUGAAUUCAAGGCUUUGUGCUUGCUAGGCAGGUAAUCCACCACUUCAGCCAUGCCUCCAGCUCUUUUUUCUCUAGUUAUUUUGGAAAUAGUGUGUUGCUUUUUGUUCAGGCCAGUCUGGACCACGAUCCUCCUAUUUAAUUCUUCGCAGUAUAGCUGGGAUGAUAAGCUCCUGCCUCCAUGCCCAACAGUUGGUUGAGAUGGCAUCUCGUGAAUGUUUUGCCUGGGCUGGCCUAAAACCAUGAUCCUUCAAACCUCAGUCACUCCGUAGCUGGGAUUGUAGAUGUCAACCACUGGCACUCAGCUCAGACUGUAUUUUCUUUCUCUAAGGCUUGUUGUUUUUCCAACCUUGUGGCUAAACUGCUGUAAGAGUGGAAGAAGGUAAAUAAAAGAGGAGAAUAAUACA